GAACCUUCGGGGGAUUUGUUGGGCGGCGAGCGGCGGACGGGUGAGUAAUGCCUGGGAAAUUGCCCUGAUGUGGGGGAUAACCAUUGGAAACGAUGGCUAAUACCGCAUGAUAGCUUCGGCUCAAAGAGGGGGACCUUCGGGCCUCUCGCGUCAGGAUAUGCCCAGGUGGGAUUAGCUAGUUGGUGAGGUAAGGGCUCACCAAGGCGACGAUCCCUAGCUGGUCUGAGAGGAUGAUCAGCCACACUGGAACUGAGACACGGUCCAGACUCCUACGGGAGGCAGCAGUGGGGAAUAUUGCACAAUGGGCGCAAGCCUGAUGCAGCCAUGCCGCGUGUAUGAAGAAGGCCUUCGGGUUGUAAAGUACUUUCAGCAGUGAGGAAGGAGGUAUCGUUAAUAGCGGUAUCUUUUGACGUUAGCUGCAGAAGAAGCACCGGCUAACUCCGUGCCAGCAGCCGCGGUAAUACGGAGGGUGCGAGCGUUAAUCGGAAUUACUGGGCGUAAAGCGCAUGCAGGUGGUUUGUUAAGUCAGAUGUGAAAGCCCGGGGCUCAACCUCGGAAUUGCAUU
Molecule: ribosomal RNA, 565 nt
Filed under: Vibrio fluvialis
Lineage: Bacteria; Pseudomonadati; Pseudomonadota; Gammaproteobacteria; Vibrionales; Vibrionaceae
Description: bacterial SSU rRNA
Rfam family: Bacterial small subunit ribosomal RNA
Source: RNAcentral